Molecule: transfer RNA, 90 nt
Filed under: Helicobacteraceae bacterium
Lineage: Bacteria; Pseudomonadati; Campylobacterota; Epsilonproteobacteria; Campylobacterales; Helicobacteraceae
Description: tRNA-Ser
Rfam family: tRNA
About the family: Transfer RNA (tRNA) molecules are approximately 80 nucleotides in length. Their secondary structure includes four short double-helical elements and three loops (D, anti-codon, and T loops).
Source: RNAcentral
GGACAGAUGGCCGAGCGGUUGAAGGCGGCAGUCUCGAAAACUGCUAUACCUGUUUGGGUAUCGUGGGUUCGAAUCCCACUCUGUCCGCCA